Molecule: ribosomal RNA, 429 nt
Filed under: Gemmatimonadota bacterium
Lineage: Bacteria; Pseudomonadati; Gemmatimonadota
Description: Gemmatimonadetes bacterium partial 16S ribosomal RNA
Rfam family: Bacterial small subunit ribosomal RNA
Source: RNAcentral
UAGGGAAUCUUCGGCAAUGGACGAAAGUCUGACCGAGCAACGCCGCGUGAGUGAAGAAGGUUUUCGGAUCGUAAAACUCUGUUGUUAGAGAAGAACAAGGACGUUAGUAACUGAACGUCCCCUGACGGUAUCUAACCAGAAAGCCACGGCUAACUACGUGCCAGCAGCCGCGGUAAUACGUAGGUGGCAAGCGUUGUCCGGAUUUAUUGGGCGUAAAGCGAGCGCAGGCGGUUUCUUAAGUCUGAUGUGAAAGCCCCCGGCUCAACCGGGGAGGGUCAUUGGAAACUGGGAGACUUGAGUGCAGAAGAGGAGAGUGGAAUUCCAUGUGUAGCGGCGAAAUGCGUAGAUAUAUGGAGGAACACCAGUGGCGCAGGCGGCUCUCUGGUCUGUAACUGACGCUGAGGCUCGAAAGCGUGGGGAGCAAACAGG